Molecule: transfer RNA, 73 nt
Filed under: Candidatus Woesearchaeota archaeon
Lineage: Archaea; Nanobdellati; Candidatus Woesearchaeota
Description: tRNA-Lys
Rfam family: tRNA
About the family: Transfer RNA (tRNA) molecules are approximately 80 nucleotides in length. Their secondary structure includes four short double-helical elements and three loops (D, anti-codon, and T loops). Further hydrogen bonds mediate the characteristic L-shaped molecular structure. tRNAs have two regions of fundamental functional importance: the anti-codon, which is responsible for specific mRNA codon recognition, and the 3' end, to which the tRNAs corresponding amino acid is attached (by aminoacyl-tRNA synthetases). tRNAs cope with the degeneracy of the genetic code in two manners: having more than one tRNA (with a specific anti-codon) for a particular amino acid; and 'wobble' base-pairing, i.e. permitting non-standard base-pairing at the 3rd anti-codon position.
Source: RNAcentral
GGGCCGUUAGCUCAGUCGGUAGAGCAUUGCACUUUUAAUGCAGUGGUCACUGGUUCGAAUCCAGUACGGCCCA